GCAAGGCUCAACGAGGCCUUAGCAGCGAAGAAGAAAGAAAUUUCCGACUUUGAAGCUAAAUAUAAAAUUAGGAUUCGAAAGCCUGAAAGUGAGUCCAAGGAUGAUGGUAACCGGAAGGAAGGUUCGGCUCAAGGAGUCCUUGUUGGCCCUGCUGGUUCAAGUGAGUGAUAGGUGUUGUAUUUUAAUUCCACCGUGAUUUCUUGAACUUGCUGGAUGGAAGUAUUUUGGAUAUUUAUUACACCUGCUGUUAGAGAGCUGGGCCUGCUAAUGGAGUGUAACAGAUAUUGCUGAAUGAUAAUUUGUGCUUGAUAUUUCUGAAUGUGUUUGUUUCAAAGUAUGGAUUUUUGUGACAAGUCCUGCAAGUAAGAAAACUAGGAUCUGAGUGAUGC
This 389-nucleotide long non-coding RNA is filed under the name Citrus sinensis (sweet orange). Its description in RNAcentral is "long non-coding RNA (CSIN_LNC003792)". The record is from RNAcentral. Lineage: Eukaryota; Viridiplantae; Streptophyta; Magnoliopsida; Sapindales; Rutaceae.